Molecule: ribosomal RNA, 279 nt
Filed under: uncultured Staphylococcus sp.
Lineage: Bacteria; Bacillati; Bacillota; Bacilli; Caryophanales; Staphylococcaceae
Description: partial 16S ribosomal RNA
Rfam family: Bacterial small subunit ribosomal RNA
Source: RNAcentral
AUACGUAGGUGGCAAGCGUUAUCCGGAAUUAUUGGGCGUAAAGCGCGCGUAGGCGGUUUUUAAGUCUGAUGUGAAAGCCCACGGCUCAACCGUGGAGGGUCAUUGGAAACUGGAAAACUUGAGUGCAGAAGAGGAAAGUGGAAUUCCAUGUGUAGCGGUGAAAUGCGCAGAGAUAUGGAGGAACACCAGUGGCGAAGGCGACUUUCUGGUCUGUAACUGGCGCUGAUGUGCGAAAGCGUGGGGAUCAAACAGGAUUAGAUACCCUGGUAGUCAAGGGCG